This 236-nucleotide small RNA is filed under the name Streptomyces longwoodensis. Its description in RNAcentral is "c-di-AMP sequence". It matches the Rfam family "c-di-AMP riboswitch aptamer (ydaO/yuaA leader)". From Rfam's summary of the family: This family represents a conserved RNA structure found upstream of the ydaO and yuaA genes in Bacillus subtilis and related genes in other bacteria. The ydaO/yuaA element is thought to act as a genetic "off" switch for the ydaO and yuaA genes in its native state. The record is from RNAcentral. Lineage: Bacteria; Bacillati; Actinomycetota; Actinomycetes; Kitasatosporales; Streptomycetaceae.
CAUCGACGACCACUCACGCACGGCAGGAGCGGGGGACCCAGGUAGAACGCCGACGCAAACGUCGUACACAGUACGCAGUGAUCAGUGCCGAGCACCCAGUACCCGGCACCGGUCACGCAGUGCGACGCACCGCGCCGGCUUGGGGUGAAGCCGCGUCGCCGUCCCCACGGCGGCCGGCCGGGCACCUCCCAGCCCGAACCCGACAGCUCACCUCGCAGGCGACGGAGAGGAACUUC